CUUUACAACUGUCUUUCUUUCAGAACGUCCCUUUUCCACCUUCAACUUCUUCCAAUGAGAUAUGGACAUCCACCGCCUUUGACUUUUCAUCUCAAAUGCUUCUCGGUUCUUCUCCACCGCCUUAUCUCCCUUAUCUCCUAUCUCUUUCUUUCUGGAUGGUUCCACCACUACCCUCUUUGUCUCAAUCUCCAUUAAAUCCAGUCGUUUCCCCUUUUAGUUCUUUCUCCGUUAAGGUGUUGACGACCUAGGGAUUAGGUGGAGAACUCACAACUUCAGCGUCGACGAGGGCUGCGAUGAUUAGGGUUAGGAGCAACCCCAAGCCCACCACGUAUGGAGGACUCCACCUAACAAUUUCAAUUUCAGACUAUGUUAGGGUCGGUUUGUAAGUUGGCUAAGCUAAGAGUUUCUUUUUCUCCCUUAAAAUAGUGGCGUUCUAGAUUAUGCAGGUUGUAAGUUAAAAGAUGAUGGCGUUCCUUUCAAAACUCAUCAUCUGAUAUUCAUGUUUUCACGUCGGGGUUACUGCUUCGCUGAUUUGUUGUCUUCCACUCCUCAACUCACAUGUCUUUCGUGUAUCUGGAAGACAUCAAUUCUCCCGCUCCCGCAUCUAGAUUACAAUGUCGCCCUUUGUCAUCAGCCAAGCCAAUAUAGCAGUAAACAGAGCAGAACGUCAAUGUUUUGAGUUGGUUGAUCCUUCAACGCCUCUCCCACCCAAUCAGAUGUUGCACCGCCAUGGACAUCGGUCGUUAUCUUUCUCCCUCGAUUAAAUCGAUUCUUAUUCCAAAGCUCUUUCUUCUUCUUGGCUCCGUCGUUUCGCUUCGUCGUUGUUGUCCACCAUAUAUUUUAAUUGAUUUUCCCCAAAAUCACACCCACUUCACUUCACCUACGCUGAAACCACCAUCACCACCGCCUGCCAUGGUGGAACGGAUGGUUCUUUUCACCGGUUGGACUCCAUCUACCUCUGAUUUCUAUCGAUUACUCCUUCUGCUACCUCGAUUUCUGGUAAUUUGGAGAUUGAAUUCCCUUAUAAAGUAGCCAUGAUAAGGGAAAUAUGGGAUUCUUAUGAACAGUUAUAGCAUCGUCAACGGCGACAACCAUUACAACAGCAGCAAUAGCUCUCUCUCUUUCUCUCUCUCAAUUCCCUCUCCCCGUCUUCAUACUCCUAUUACAAUUACAAUUUCCCCAAACCCUUUUUGAAUUUGUCCUCUUCGAUCCCAAAUCGGUUCGACCUCAACAAGACUCUCACCAAACCUCCUCCAGCUCUUCACAUGGACGCUAAUCCCACCCUAAUGCACGAUGCGGAAUUACCGGAAGUUAUGAAAAAUAUGACAUUCUUCUAUAUAGAUUCAAAGGUGAUGAUCAGGUGGCCAAAAGUGUUGAUCUUGGCGCUGGAGAUGGACCCAAAUGGAAACACAGGUGUUGAUUCCUUCGUGUAUACCCAAAUGACAUUGUUUUUUUCCUGUUAUAGUGAUUUUUAAAGCUUCAAGCUAAAAAUAUGUUCUUAUUGUGUUAAUAAAUCAAACAUGACAUGCUUGAAACAAAUCACACUGAUGAUCUAUGUUUCUUCAUUAAGGUAUACCUGAUUCAACCAAUAGUCCUUUGUCUUUUCCUUUCUUUGGUUUCAUUCGAUGUCGAAUCUGUUCUAUCAUCUAUACGUUCAUGUCUUUAUUCCUGGCUGCAAGUACAGAGUUAUAACUAGGGGUGUUCAAAACCGGUUAUCCGAAUUUCGGAUAUCCGAAAAUUCGGAUAGUUGAUUUUGAUAUCCGAAUCCGUAUCCGAAAUUUCGGAUAUCCGAAAUUUCGGAUACGGAGUCGGAUAUUAAACCGGAUAUCCGAAUUUCAUUAAUUUUAAACCGCAUCCGAACAUCCGAUUCGUAAAAUCACCGCAACUCUUAAAAUUAAUAAUAGCAACUAUGUUAAAUCUUGCGACAUAGAUGGAUAUCGAUAGCAACAAAUAAAUAUAUGUAGCAUUUACUAAAUAGUUUUUGAUUAUAAGCCAACGAACUUUGAUUAUAACAAACAAAUAUAUAACGAUUGUAAAAGGAAAUGUUUGCAAUAAAAGUUUGGAAAGAAUGGUCACGAAAAAGUUGAAAAUGGUGGGGAACAUUAGUCCAUUAAGCAUGUCAAUAUUUCUAAUUUCUCAUUUUAAAAUAUUAAAAAAUAAAGAAAAAGGAUAUCGGAUAUCCGAAAUAUCCGAAACUUUAUAAAUUCACUAUCCGUAUCCGAAUCCGAAAAACCGGAUAUUCGAAAUUCGGAUAUCCGAAAAUCCGGAUAUCUGAAAUUUCGGAUAAUUUCGGAUCGGAUUUUUGGGUCGGAUAUUUCGGAUGCGGAUAUUUUUGAACACCCCUAGUUAUAACAACCGGUCUGCUAUUCAUGCCCCUUACUCAUCCAAAGCAUCAUCCAACCCUCCCUUAGACUAUCCUCAUUCAGAACCCAAUCCAACCCAAUAAUCUAUUUAAAAAUUAAUUUCUCUCUCUUCUAUAUUCAUAAUUCAACCAAACCUAAUAUUCUACUUCCAUUAGCAAUCCAACUCAAUCCAAUUUUAUAUUAAAUAAAUAUUAAAAAAAAUAUAUCGAUAUUGGUAUCAUUUUAUAGAGAAAAAUUAAUCAUGUAUAUUGGUAUAUUUUAUUUAAUUUUUUACUCAAAAUAAAAUGGAGUUAUUAACAAAUUUAAAUUUAAUUAGAAAAGUUUAUUUGGCUUCACUAAUGACUAUUGGACAUGUGGGUUUUUUUGGGAUUAAAAAGUGCCUGGUGAACUUGGGUUGUGUCUCCGACCCAGGUCACCAAAAAUGUUUUAGUUUCUAUUUUCUUUUAAUUGGAAAAUGACGAGCGGCUCGUCCAAAUGGCAGGUAAACAACACACGGUCGCUAAUUCUUGAAAAGAUAAUCAUAUACAAAUCUUUUUUUGUAGAAUCCUAGAUGUUGAUAAUAACAAUAUGACCUUAAUUUUCAUUAGAAAGCUGGAAGAGUUGAGGCUGAUCUGUUGUAUUUAUUGAUGAAUUCUAAUUUGUGUUUUUUUUUUGAAUCCUGGAUGUUGAUAAUAACAAUAUUCCAACAUAGCAUCCCCCAUCAAAGAUCCAACCAUGUCUAUGGCCGAGAUCCUUAACACCUUUUGUAGCUGAUCUCAAUAAGCUACCAAAAUGGAAUUAUGAUGGAUGGAGCACUGUUCAACCUUCUGGUAUCAUCCAAGAUUUAAUUCAAGAUCUUCAAACUUAUUUCCAAAAACACCAAGAACACCAAGAACACACACUAAGUGUUCUUGGACUUUUAGCUCAUUUCAAGCUUCCUUAUAUCCUAAGAUGAAGCUCGGAAGCGAAAGGAAGCGGGAGAAACAGUUAGAAGAUCGAGAAUGGAAUAAAGAAGGAAAACACUAAAAAAGGCACCUACUCGGCGAGUCAUAUCGUCUACUCGGCGAGUCCAAUCGAAGGAUCGAGAAGAUAAUGACUCGGGAUCCCAGAGAGUUAUCGCAAUACGGGGAAUGUGAGAGGGACUCGACGAGUCACCACUUGACUCGACGAGUCGAUUCGUAUAUUUAAAGAUAAUUCCACAGAUCGAUAGGGGAGUUCUGGGACGAUUCAGAAGUGCUUUGUUACGAUUGAGAAGCCUGAAAAACCCUAGAAGACGACGAAUGAAGCUAGAAUUCAAUUUCGGAGAGUAAUUAAGGCAAAAUUUCAUCAUUCCAUUUAUUCUUUUGUUUAUUCAUCAUGAUUAAGCAACUUGACUUUGAUUGUUUGCUGUUAUUUACUUUAAUUAUGAGCUAAAACCUUUAGACUUCUGUUUGGGGAUACAAAGUUGACAAUAUGGUUUGAUUGAUUGGUAGGAUUAAUUCCAAGUUGGUAAAUUUUUGUUA
Lactuca sativa (garden lettuce) is the source of this 3844-nucleotide non-coding RNA. The record is from RefSeq and is a predicted model, not a curated record. Lineage: Eukaryota; Viridiplantae; Streptophyta; Magnoliopsida; Asterales; Asteraceae.